RNAcentral lists this ribosomal RNA (2648 nucleotides) under Argonauta argo. Its description in RNAcentral is "partial small subunit ribosomal RNA". The record is from RNAcentral. Lineage: Eukaryota; Metazoa; Mollusca; Cephalopoda; Octopoda; Argonautidae.
ACCUGGUUGAUCCUGCCAGUAGUCAUAUGCUUGUCUCAAAGCUUAAGCCAUGCAAGUGUAAGUUCAUGCCGUAAACGAAUGGUGAAACCGCGAAUGGCUCAGGAACCGGACCUAAUCCUCGGGACCGUAUUCCUCACCGCGAGGAGAGUGGAUAACUGUGGCAAUUCUAGAGCUAAUACAUGCAAUCGAAGCCGCGAUCGCGGGUCGGGUUAAACCUUCGCGGUUUCUCGGCCUUUUUCCGCACCGGUCGCGGCGCAAAUAUUAGACUGAGACCGACGGCGUUACGAGCCGCAACGCGCGUGCGUGCGUUCGCGUGCGCACCUCCGCAGCGGUGUUCGGCGCUUUUCCCUUCGAUUUUGGUGACUCUGGAUAACUGUCAGUACGAUCGCACGGGCCGGGAUCGCACCCGGCCUUCGCGCGACGGGUCCCCCGCGAGUCCGCCCUAUCAACUGUCGACGGCCCGGUAAGUGCCGACCGUGGUAGCAACGGGUGACGGGGAAUCAGGGUUCGAUUCCGGAGAGGGAGCAUGCGAAACGGCUACCACAUCCAAGGAAGGCAGCAGGCGCGCAAAUUACCCACUCCCGGCACGGGGAGGUAGUGACGAAAAAUAACGACGCGGGACUCUGUCGAGGCCCCGCGAUCGGAAUGAGUACACUUCAAAUCCGUUAACGAGGAUCGACCGGAGGGCAAGUCUGGUGCCAGCAGCCGCGGUAAUUCCAGCUCCGGUAGCGUAUAUUAAAAUUGUUGCGUUUGAAAAGCUCGUAGUCGGAAUUCGGGUCUCGAAAGCGUGCGCAAGCACGUUCGGGGCGGCGGCGCCGUGGCCGGGUUCGCGUUCGCUUCGUAGGAAGCGGCGCGUUUGGGGYGGUCUUGUCGAACGGGUCGGUCUGGUUUCGGUUCUAGGGGCGUUCGCGUUUCGCAUUUCUCUUUUCUCGGGGCCGGCGUCGUCGCGCUCGCGCGCGGCGUCGGUUUUUCGGGGGGAGAAGCGCGCGUCCGUUUUCCGGCCGUGUCACAACCUCCGCAUCCCACAGUUCGCUGCCGUCCACCGCUUCGGUCGUCCGUUCGCACUCCCGGCCCUAUUCGCCGGUGCGUGCACGGUUUCGGGCCGUCGAGCUCUGAGGUUUUCUAGAAAAGAAAAGAAAAGUCGGCGAAUUGCGGUCGUUUCCGUCCUUUCCCGCUUUAUUUUUUUUUUUUUGCUUCAUCUCGCGGUUCGUCGAGCGUCGUUCGAGCGGCGUUUACCUUCGCGGUGGUCGUUCGUCGGCGCCGGCGACGCAAGCCGACCGGCACGGUUCCUCCGAGGGUGCUCUUCACCGAGUGUCCGAGGCGGCCGGUACGUUCACUGUGAAAAAAUUAGAGUGCUCAGAGCGAGCCCCGACUGGCUUGCAUACGAAAAGCAUGGAAUGAUGGAAAAUGGCCUCGUCCGCGCGUCAUCCGUCGGUCUCCGUUCACGACGAGGCAAUGAUCGAAGGGAGCGAUCGGGGCCACUCGUAUUGCGACGUUAGAGGUGAAAUUCUUGGAUCGUCGCAAGACGCACUGCAGCGACGGCGUGUGGCAAGCACGUUUUCCUCGAUCAAGAGCGAAAGUCGGAGGUUCGAAGACGAUCAGAUACCGUCGUAGUUCCGACCGUAAACGAUGCCGACUGGCGCUCCGCCGGCGUUCGCUUCGAUGACCCGGCGGGGAGCCUGCGCGGGAAACCAUAGUCGGUUCCGGGGGGAGUAUGGUUGCAAAACAGAAACUUAAAGGAAUUGACGGAAGGGCACCACCAGGAGUGGAGCCUGCGGCUUAAUUUGACUCAACACGGGAAAACUCACCCGGUCCGGACACCGGUAGGAUUGACAGAUCGAUAGCUCUUUCUCGAUUCGGUGGGUGGUGGUGCAUGGCCGUUCUUAGUUGGUGGAGCGAUCCGUCUGGUUGAUUCCGAUAACGAACGAGACUCCGGCCUGCUAACUAGCGCGUCGAUUAGUGCUUUUCCGGUAGCGCGGCGGCGCUGAAGCCGUCGUCGGUGCUUCUUUCCGAGGUUCGCGUGGCGUCGUUUCGUGCCGGUCGCUUGCUAGCGGUCGUCGUUUCGGCGGCGAUUGCCGGCUUCGGCUGUCGCGAGACAUCGUUCGCGCGCUGCCGAAGAUUGCGGUUCGGCGGCGGCACGUCGUCGCGUCCGGGCCAGUCGGUUGGCGUAAGCAGCGCUUCUUAGAGGGACGGGCGGCAGAAAGCCGCACGAGGCGGAGCGAUAACAGGUCUGUGAUGCCCUUAGAUGUCCGGGGCCGCACGCGCGCUACACUGGAGGUAUCAGCGGGCGCGUAUCCCCCGGCCCGAGAGGGCCGGGAAACCUCUGAACCACCUCCCGUGAUAGGGAUCGGGGCCUGGAACCAACCCCGUGAACGAGGAAUUCCCGGUAGGCGCGGGUCAUCAGCCCGCGUCGAUCACGUCCCUGCCCUUUGUACACACCGCCCGUCGCUACUACCGAUCGAACGGUCCGGUGAGGUCCUCGGAUCUGGCCGACGAGUUCGCAGGCUGCGUGGCGUGUUGCGGGUUUACUCGUAGUGCGUCCGUGGUGCGCUCUCUGAUGGCCCGGAGAAGACGACCGAACCCGAUCGCUUAGAGGAAGUAAAAGUCGUAACAAGGUUUCCGUAGGUGAACCUGCGGAAGGAUCAUUA